Molecule: long non-coding RNA, 1184 nt
Filed under: Panax ginseng (ginseng)
Lineage: Eukaryota; Viridiplantae; Streptophyta; Magnoliopsida; Apiales; Araliaceae
Description: long non-coding RNA (PGIN_LNC011150)
Source: RNAcentral
CAUGGGCUUGACUCCUACUGUCCAGAUCAUUUCUACCAACAUAUAUGAACAUGCUACAACAAACCAACUCACUAAAUUACCAUGCUAUUAACAAAUUGACUACAAAGAGGCAUUUUAUCAACAUAUCGCAUACAUUCAUGAAAUAUAUGAUUCUCUAUGUAAUUGAAACAUGUUUAAACCAUAAUUUUCAUUCCUUAUCCUCCUCAUAACAGAAACCAACAAUAUUAUCAUAGCCUUACGAAAUCAACAUAAACCAUUUACCAUGGCUAUACAUGCUUUUUCACUAUUUUUCUUCAAGAACAUGAAAAAGAGAGUUUCAUAGCCUACCUUUUUGGAUGAAUUUCCCUUGCGUUAAUUUGAUUAUCCCUCUUCAUUGCUUGUUAGUUGUUAAGUGAUCUCUAGAAUACUACCACACUAUCUAUCACUCUCAACUUCUCUGCAUGCUUACUUGGUGGAAUUUUCUUAAAAGAAAAGUGUGUUUGUAUAUAUGUAUAGCUUUGUUAGAGUCUUUUGAUUCCCAGAACCCCCAACUGUGGCGUCCCCGAAUUCGGGUCCCAAAUCGCCGCGGAUUCGGUACAAACAUUCUACAACUGUUUGUGGAAGAUAUAAACAUAGAUUGUUUAUACAUUAAACUUUACACACAUUUCCCCAGAAUCGAGUAACCUUCACUUAUACACAAUCAUGAACUAUCUAGCACAUGACAAUACUAUUCUUCAACAUACUUUACAACUUAACAUCACAUUCUAUCCCAAGCUGAACUUGGCAUUAUCCUUUUCCUGUAUCUGGCCGUAUUCGCCUUAUCUGUAAUGUUUUAUCAUGAUAUAACAAGUGUGAGCAUGAAAGUUGCCCAGCAAGUUUAAAAAAAAACAAGGUAAAGAUAUAUCAUGAUUGAAAGAGUUUGAAUAAUAAGCUGGCUACCCUUCACAAUGUAGUUGUGAAUUAGCAUGAACAAAAUUUCAAAGCUGAAUGAACAUUGAAAAUGAACAUAACAAUUAUAUCUGAACUGACUGGUAAUGAAGGUGAUCAGCCUUUCAUACCUGAUGAAUACAUGCAAUAUGUACAGAGUACAAUUCAUAAGCAUAUCUGUCUGAAACCACUCUUAAAAGAGUUUAAGUAAAAAGAACUUGAAAAACUUGCCUGAACCGUUGAUUACCGUAACGCAAUAUAAUACGCUUCUCCUGAAG